AUUGAACGCUGGCGGAAUGCUUUACACAUGCAAGUCGAACGGUAGAGGGGGCGACCCCUCGAGAGUGGCGAACGGGUGAGUAAUAUAUCGGAACGUGCCCAGUCGUGGGGGAUAACGUAGCGAAAGUUACGCUAAUACCGCAUACGAUCUAAGGAUGAAAGCGGGGGAUCGCAAGACCUCGCGCGAUUGGAGCGGCCGAUAUCAGAUUAGGUAGUGGGUGGGGUAAAGGCUCACCAAGCCAACGAUCUGGAGCUGGUCUGAGAGGACGACCAGCCACACUGGAACUGAGACACGGUCCAGACUCCUACGGGAGGCAGCAGUGGGGAAUUUUGGACAAUGGACGCAAGUCUGAUCCAGCCAUUCCGCGUGCAGGAUGAAAGCCCUCGGGUUGUAAACUGCUUUUGUACGGAACGAAAAGGUCUCUCUUAAUACGGGGGGCUCAUGACGGUACCGUAAGAAUAAGCACCGGCUAACUACGUGCCAGCAGCCGCCGUAA
Molecule: ribosomal RNA, 496 nt
Filed under: uncultured bacterium
Lineage: Bacteria
Description: partial 16S ribosomal RNA
Rfam family: Bacterial small subunit ribosomal RNA
Source: RNAcentral